AAACUCCUUUUGUGCUAUCUCCCUACAACUACACUGCUAGAUUUCACUCCAUCUAAUUGCAACUAUGCUUGCUGUGUAUGCUCUUUAGUUCCCCUUCUGGAUCAAGCAGCUGAUUUCUUCUGGCUUUAUACACACUAAGCUUAUUGUGACUUUGCAACACUGCCUGCGAUCCUUAUAUAGAUCUUAUACAGAUAUUUUGGGAAAUCUACAUGAUUCCUUCCUUGAAUUAACACUGCAGCUGGAUUGCUCAUUGAUGUCCCUGGUCUUUAACCCCAUAAACCGUUAUAUAUGAUCAUGCACAUGACCAUUUUCACCUCGGCGGUUUUCUGUGUUUGUCGCUAGUUGUGGGCAACUCGUGGUUGCAUAUUUUGACUGGAUAUCGCUCCCUCCCCUGAAGAAGCGGAAGUCCGCGAAACAUGUAGGGUCUAUGCGAUUUCCUUUUCCAGUUGCAUCCAUA
Molecule: long non-coding RNA, 457 nt
Organism: Rana temporaria (common frog)
Lineage: Eukaryota; Metazoa; Chordata; Amphibia; Anura; Ranidae
Exons: 4
Source: RefSeq, a predicted model, not a curated record